RNAcentral lists this ribosomal RNA (465 nucleotides) under uncultured bacterium. RNAcentral's name for it is "partial 16S ribosomal RNA". It matches the Rfam family "Bacterial small subunit ribosomal RNA", at positions 28 to 507 of the family's 1533-position model. The record is from RNAcentral.
GACGAACGCUGGCGGCGUGCUUAACACAUGCAAGUCGAACGGAAAGGCCCUGCUUGCAGGGUACUCGAGUGGCGAACGGGUGAGUAACACGUGGGUGAUCUGCCCUGCACUUCGGGAUAAGCCUGGGAAACUGGGUCUAAUACCGGAUAGGAGCCAUUUUUAGUGUGAUGGUUGGAAAGUUUUUUCGGUGUAGGAUGAGCUCGCGGCCUAUCAGCUUGUUGGGGGGGUAAUGGCCUACCAAGGCGGCGACGGGUAGCCGGCCUGAGAGGGUGGACGGCCACAUUGGGACUGAGAUACGGCCCAGACGCCUACGGGAGGCAGCAGUGGGGAAUAUUGCACAAUGGGCGCAAGCCUGAUGCAGCGACGCCGCGUGGGGGAUGACGGCCUUCGGGUUGUAAACGCCUUUCGCUAGGGACGAAGCUUUUUGUGACGGUACCUAGAGAAGAAGCACCGGCUAACUACGUG